RNAcentral lists this ribosomal RNA (441 nucleotides) under uncultured bacterium. RNAcentral's name for it is "partial 16S ribosomal RNA". It matches the Rfam family "Bacterial small subunit ribosomal RNA", at positions 339 to 795 of the family's 1533-position model. The record is from RNAcentral.
CUACGGGCGGCAGCAGUGGGGAAUAUUGGGCAAUGGGCGCAAGCCUGACCCAGCAACGCCGCGUGAGGGAAGAAGGUUUUCGGAUUGUAAACCUCUGUCCUUGGGGACGAAGAAGUGACGGUACCCAAGGAGGAAGCCCCGGCUAACUACGUGCCAGCAGCCGCGGUAAUACGUAGGGAGCAAGCGUUGUCCGGAAUUACUGGGCGUAAAGGGUGCGUAGGCGGCAUAUUAAGUCAGGUGUGAAAUACUCGGGCUCAACCCGGGGGGUGCAUUUGAAACUGAUAAGCUUGAGUGUGAGAGAGGAAAGUGGAAUUCCUAGUGUAGCGGUGGAAUGCGUAGAUAUUAGGAGGAACACCAGUGGCGAAGGCGACUUUCUGGCUCAUAACUGACGCUGAGGCACGAAAGCGUGGGGAGCAAACAGGAUUAGAUACCCCAGUAGUC